UACGUAGGCAGCGAGCGUUGUUCGGAGUUACUGGGCGUAAAGGGUGUGUAGGCGGUUCUCUAAGUUUGGUGUGAAAUCUCCCGGCUCAACCGGGAGGGUGCGCCGAAAACUGGAGGGCUAGAGUGCGGGAAGGGAGAGUAGAAUUCCUGGUGUAGCGGUGAAAUGCUUAGAUAUCAGGAGGAAUACCGGUGGUGCAGACGGCUCUCUGGACCGCGACUGACGCUGAGACACGAAAGCGUGGGUAGCAAACAGG
This 253-nucleotide ribosomal RNA is filed under the name uncultured bacterium. RNAcentral describes it as "partial 16S ribosomal RNA". It matches the Rfam family "Bacterial small subunit ribosomal RNA", at positions 524 to 776 of the family's 1533-position model. The record is from RNAcentral.